CUACGUGCCAGCAGCCGCGGUAAUACGUAGGUGGCAAGCGUUGUCCGGAAUUAUUGGGCGUAAAGCGCGCGCAGGCGGAUCAGUCAGUCUGCCUUAAAAGUUCGGGGCUUAACCCCGUGAUGGGAUGGAAACUGCUGAUCUAGAGUAUCGGAGAGGAAAGUGGAAUUCCUAGUGUAGCGGUGAAAUGCGUAGAUAUUAGGAAGAACACCAGUGGCGAAGGCGACUUUCUGGACGAAAACUGACGCUGAGGCGCGAAAGCCAGGGGAGCGAACGGGAUUAGAUACCCCGGUAGUCCUGGCCGUAAACGAUGGGUACUAGGUGUAGGAGGUAUCGACCCCUUCUGUGCCGGAGUUAACGCAAUAAGUACCCCGCCUGGGGAGUACGACCGCAAGGUUGAAACUCAAAGGAAUUGACGGGGGCCCGCACAAGCGGUGGAGUAUGUGGUUUAAUUCGACGCAACGCGAAGAACCUUACCAGGUCUUGACAUUGAUGGACAGAACUAGAGAUAG
This 509-nucleotide ribosomal RNA is filed under the name uncultured bacterium. Its description in RNAcentral is "bacterial SSU rRNA". It matches the Rfam family "Bacterial small subunit ribosomal RNA", at positions 501 to 1009 of the family's 1533-position model. The record is from RNAcentral.